AUACUUAGAACACCAUCAUAAAACCGUUAGAAGAAGAAGAAGUUAAUACCAUUUUGUCCACCGAGGCUGUUAUCGUUGGCGAGCCUCCGAGCGUUGCAACCUUGGGUCUGAUCCUGUAUUCAGCUAACUUUGUCGUAUCGGGUCACUGAAGACUACACAAUGUCUGAUGAAAUGUCGACGCCCCCCGUCAAGCCUUCCGCUUACAACCGCUUGAAGAACCGGGUGGCGAACUUGUUCUCUCAAGGU
Ornithodoros turicata is the source of this 246-nucleotide long non-coding RNA. RefSeq lists it as uncharacterized. The record is from RefSeq and is a predicted model, not a curated record. NCBI's taxonomy places the organism in Eukaryota, Metazoa, Arthropoda, Arachnida, Ixodida, Argasidae. The transcript is spliced from 3 exons.